RNAcentral lists this ribosomal RNA (1354 nucleotides) under Escherichia coli O157. Its description in RNAcentral is "partial 23S ribosomal RNA". It matches the Rfam family "Bacterial large subunit ribosomal RNA", at positions 1613 to 2925 of the family's 2925-position model. The record is from RNAcentral. Lineage: Bacteria; Pseudomonadati; Pseudomonadota; Gammaproteobacteria; Enterobacterales; Enterobacteriaceae.
AAAAGCCUCUAAGCAUCAGGUAACAUCAAAUCGUACCCCAAACCGACACAGGUGGUCAGGUAGAGAAUACCAAGGCGCUUGAGAGAACUCGGGUGAAGGAACUAGGCAAAAUGGUGCCGUAACUUCGGGAGAAGGCACGCUGAUAUGUAGGUGAAGUCCCUCGCGGAUGGAGCUGAAAUCAGUCGAAGAUACCAGCUGGCUGCAACUGUUUAUUAAAAACACAGCACUGUGCAAACACGAAAGUGGACGUAUACGGUGUGACGCCUGCCCGGUGCCGGAAGGUUAAUUGAUGGGGUCAGCGCAAGCGAAGCUCUUGAUCGAAGCCCCGGUAAACGGCGGCCGUAACUAUAACGGUCCUAAGGUAGCGAAAUUCCUUGUCGGGUAAGUUCCGACCUGCACGAAUGGCGUAAUGAUGGCCAGGCUGUCUCCACCCGAGACUCAGUGAAAUUGAACUCGCUGUGAAGAUGCAGUGUACCCGCGGCAAGACGGAAAGACCCCGUGAACCUUUACUAUAGCUUGACACUGAACAUUGAGCCUUGAUGUGUAGGAUAGGUGGGAGGCUUUGAAGUGUGGACGCCAGUCUGCAUGGAGCCGACCUUGAAAUACCACCCUUUAAUGUUUGAUGUUCUAACGUGGACCCGUGAUCCGGGUUGCGGACAGUGUCUGGUGGGUAGUUUGACUGGGGCGGUCUCCUCCUAAAGAGUAACGGAGGAGCACGAAGGUUGGCUAAUCCUGGUCGGACAUCAGGAGGUUAGUGCAAUGGCAUAAGCCAGCUUGACUGCGAGCGUGACGGCGCGAGCAGGUGCGAAAGCAGGUCAUAGUGAUCCGGUGGUUCUGAAUGGAAGGGCCAUCGCUCAACGGAUAAAAGGUACUCCGGGGAUAACAGGCUGAUACCGCCCAAGAGUUCAUAUCGACGGCGGUGUUUGGCACCUCGAUGUCGGCUCAUCACAUCCUGGGGCUGAAGUAGGUCCCAAGGGUAUGGCUGUUCGCCAUUUAAAGUGGUACGCGAGCUGGGUUUAGAACGUCGUGAGACAGUUCGGUCCCUAUCUGCCGUGGGCGCUGGAGAACUGAGGGGGGCUGCUCCUAGUACGAGAGGACCGGAGUGGACGCAUCACUGGUGUUCGGGUUGUCAUGCCAAUGGCACUGCCCGGUAGCUAAAUGCGGAAGAGAUAAGUGCUGAAAGCAUCUAAGCACGAAACUUGCCCCGAGAUGAGUUCUCCCUGACCCUUUAAGGGUCCUGAAGGAACGUUGAAGACGACGACGUUGAUAGGCCGGGUGUGUAAGCGCAGCGAUGCGUUGAGCUAACCGGUACUAAUGAACCGUGAGGCUUAACCUUACAACGCCGAAGGUGUUU